GCUCAGAACGAACGCUGGCGGCAUGCCUAAUACAUGCAAGUCGAACGGGAAAAGCCUUCGGGUGAGUACUAGUGGCGCACGGGUGAGUAACGCGUGGGUAAUCUGCCUUUUAGUGGGGAACAACAUCUCGAAAGAGGUGCUAAUACCGCAUAAGACUACGAUUUCUUCGGAUUUAGUGGUUAAAGGGGGCUUCGGCUCUCGCUAAAAGAUGAGCUCGCGUCCCAUUAGCUAGAUGGUGGGGUAAUGGCCUACCAUGGCGACGAUGGGUAGCUGGUCUGAGAGGAUGAUCAGCCACACUGGAACUGAGACACGGUCCAGACUCCUACGGGAGGCAGCAGUAGGGAAUAUUGGACAAUGGGGGAAACCCUGAUCCAGCAAUGCCGCGUGAGUGAUGAAGGCCUAUGGGUCGUAAAACUCUGUCGUAUAGGAAUAAAUGCCUGUGGUUAAUACCCGCAGGAGCUGAAGGUACUAUGCAAGAAAGCACCGGCUAACUACGUGCCAGCAGCCGCGGUAAUACGUAGGGUGCUAGCGUUGUUCGGAAUUACUGGGCGUAAAGCGCAUGUAGGCGGCUAUUUAAGUCAGAUGUGAAAGCCCCGGGCUUAACCUGGGACGUGCAUCUGAAACUAUUUAGCUUGAGUACAGGAGAGGGUAGUGGAAUUUCUGGUGUAGUGGUGAAAUACGUAGAUAUCAGAAGGAACAUCGGUGGCGAAGGCGGCUGCCUGGCCUUGUACUGACGCUGAGAUGCGAAAGCGUGGGGAGCAAACAGGAUUAGAUACACUGGUAGUCCACGCCGUAAACGAUGAACACUUGGUGUUGGAGGUAUUGACCCCUUCAGUGCCGGAGCUAACGCGUUAAGUGUUCCGCCUGGGGAGUACGGUCGCAAGAUUAAAACUCAAAGAAAUUGA
Molecule: ribosomal RNA, 905 nt
Filed under: marine metagenome
Description: bacterial SSU rRNA
Rfam family: Bacterial small subunit ribosomal RNA
Source: RNAcentral